Molecule: ribosomal RNA, 472 nt
Filed under: uncultured bacterium
Lineage: Bacteria
Description: bacterial SSU rRNA
Rfam family: Bacterial small subunit ribosomal RNA
Source: RNAcentral
CUACGGACUCCUACGGGAGGCAGCAGUAGGGAAUCUUCCACAAUGGGCGAAAGCCUGAUGGAGCAAUGCCGCGUGAGUGAAGAAGGUUUUCGGAUCGUAAAACUCUGUUGUUGAAGAAGAACAUGCGUGAGAGUAACUGUUCACGUACUGACGGUAUUCAACCAGAAAGCCACGGCUAACUACGUGCCAGCAGCCGCGGUAAUACGUAGGUGGCAAGCGUUGUCCGGAUUUAUUGGGCGUAAAGAGAAUGUAGGCGGUUUAUUAAGUUUGAAGUGAAAGCCCUCGGCUCAACCGAGGAAGUGCUUCGAAAACUGGUAAACUUGAGUGCAGAAGAGGAAAGUGGAACUCCAUGUGUAGCGGUGGAAUGCGUAGAUAUAUGGAAGAACACCAGUGGCGAAGGCGGCUUUCUGGUCUGUAACUGACGCUGAGAUUCGAAAGCAUGGGUAGCAAACAGGAUUAGAUACCCUGGUAG